AAGACUAUAGACCUGCGGAGUACCUGCGGAAGGAUCAUUAUUGAAGUCUCUGAGAGGUUUCGUUGCUGACUCUCCGGAGUAUGUGCACGCCUCUCACACUUUAUUCAACCACCUGUGCACCUCUCGUAGCUUCUCAGAUGCUUUCAGUCUUCGGACUGGUGGGGACUGCUGCAGUGACUCUGCUCACAGCUUCAGUCCGAUAUCUGAGGGGUUGCGCACUACACAAACUCUGUUAAAGUU
RNAcentral lists this unclassified non-coding RNA (240 nucleotides) under soil metagenome. Its description in RNAcentral is "partial contains 5.8S ribosomal RNA, internal transcribed spacer 2, and large subunit ribosomal RNA". The record is from RNAcentral.